GACGAACGCUGGCGGCGUGCUUAACACAUGCAAGUCGAGCGAGGCCCCUCCUUCGGGAGGGUGUCCUAGCGGCGAACGGGCGAGUAACACGUGGGUAACUUGCCCUCAGCUCUGGGAUAACUCAGGGAAACCGGGGCUAAUACCUGAUACGACCUCCACGGGCAUCUGCGGAGCUGGAAAGUUUGUCGGCUGUGGAUGGGCCUGUGGCCUAUUAGCUAGUUGGUGGGGUAGUGGCAAACGAAGCCGGCGACUGAUGGCCGGCACGAGAGCUGGACCGCGCACACUACUACUGAGACACGGACCAGACUGGAACGGUAGGCAGCGGGCGAGAGCAUGACGCAGUGAGCGAGAGCGAGUGACGGCGGCGCCCGGUGAGGGAAGAAGUGCUUCGGGUUAAGAACAUCUUUCAGCGGAGACGAAGCGAAAGUGACGGUACCUAAAGAAGAAGCACCGGCUAACUACGUG
This 465-nucleotide ribosomal RNA is filed under the name uncultured bacterium. RNAcentral's name for it is "partial 16S ribosomal RNA". It matches the Rfam family "Bacterial small subunit ribosomal RNA", at positions 28 to 507 of the family's 1533-position model. The record is from RNAcentral.